Molecule: ribosomal RNA, 132 nt
Filed under: uncultured bacterium
Lineage: Bacteria
Description: partial 16S ribosomal RNA
Rfam family: Bacterial small subunit ribosomal RNA
Source: RNAcentral
GGGGGAUAUUGCACAAUGGGGGAAACCCUGAUGCAGCGACGCCGCGUGAGUGAAGAAGUAUUUCGGUAUGUAAAGCUCUAUCAGCAGGGAAGAAAAAAGACGGUACCUGACUAAGAAGCCCCGGCUAACUAC